Molecule: ribosomal RNA, 492 nt
Filed under: uncultured bacterium
Lineage: Bacteria
Description: partial 16S ribosomal RNA
Rfam family: Bacterial small subunit ribosomal RNA (bases 97-492)
Source: RNAcentral
GGGGGGGGGGGGGGGGGGGGGGGGGGGGGGGGGGGGGGGGGGGGGGGGGGGGGGGGGGGGGGGGGGGGGGGGGCGGGUGGCGGAGGGGGGGGUGAGGCCGGGGGAGCUACGUGUUCGGGGGGGGGAGCGUAGGGAGGCUUACCCGCGUACCUCAUCCUCCCUCCGGGUGGUACCCGGGGAGCCUCGGCCCUUGCCCUCUCGCAGGGCCCGAGGUCGGAUUAGCUCGGUGGCGUGCUAAAGGCCCACCAAGGCGAGGAUCCGUAGCUGGUCUGAGAGGAUGAUGAGACACACUGGAACUGAGACACGGGCCAGACGCCUACGGGAGGCAGCAGUGGGGAAUAUUGGACAAUGGGCGCAAGCCUGAUACAGCCAUACCGCGUGGGUGAAGAAGGCCUUCGGUUUGUAAAGCCCUUGUGUUGGGAAAGAAAAGAAGCAGGUUAAUACCCCGCUGUUCUGACGGUACCCAAAGAAUAAGCACCGGCUAACUUCGUG